Molecule: ribosomal RNA, 468 nt
Filed under: uncultured bacterium
Lineage: Bacteria
Description: partial 16S ribosomal RNA
Rfam family: Bacterial small subunit ribosomal RNA
Source: RNAcentral
GACGAACGCUGGCGGCGUGCUUAACACAUGCAAGUCGAACGGAAAGGCCCUGCUUUUGUGGGGUGCUCGAGUGGCGAACGGGUGAGUAACACGUGCGUAACCUGCCCUUGACUUUGGGAUAACUACAGGAAACUGGGGCUAACACCGAAUAGGAGCUCCUUCUGCAUGGUGGGGGUUGUAAAGUUUCGGCGGUUGGGGAUUGACUCCCGGCUUAUCAGCUUGUUGGUGGGGUAGUGGCGUACCAAGGAUUUGACGGGUAGCCGGCCUGAGAGGGUGACCGGCCACAGUGGGACUGAGAAACGGCCCAGACUCCUACGGGAGGCAUCAGUGGGGAAUAGUGCACGAUGGGCGGAAGCCUGAUGCAGCAACGCCGCGUGCGGGAUGACGGCCUUCGGGUUGUAAACCGCUUUCGCCUGUGACGAAGCGUGAGUGACGGUAAUGGGUAAAGAAGCACCGGCUAACUACGUG